RNAcentral lists this unclassified non-coding RNA (373 nucleotides) under uncultured fungus. Its description in RNAcentral is "sequence contains ITS1". The stretch from base 1 to 102 matches the Rfam family "5.8S ribosomal RNA", at positions 49 to 154 of the family's 154-position model. Lineage: Eukaryota; Fungi. The record is from RNAcentral.
UGAAAUGCGAUAAGUAAUGUGAAUUGCAUAAAUCUGUGAAUCAUCAAAUCUUUGAACGCACCUUGCACUCAUAUCCUUAUGAGUAUACCUGCUUGAGAAUCAUAAAGCAAGCUUGUUUUUCCUUGUUUUUUAAUUUAAAAAAGUUGAAGAACACGAGGGGAAGCAGACCUUGAGGCCUCAGAUAUUUACUUAUUUGUGCCUUGAAAUUUAGUCGAUGUGUUAGGCUUUGACUAAAGCGUGGUAAACUAUCGCUGGUGUCUUUGCCGCCAUACAACAACAUCGAGUGGGUUCAACUGCGCUUCGUUUCCCUUUACUGAGAACGAAACGCGACAUCAUUGAUCUCAAGUCAGGUAGGAGUACCCGCUGAACUUAA